This 228-nucleotide ribosomal RNA is filed under the name uncultured bacterium. RNAcentral describes it as "partial 16S ribosomal RNA". It matches the Rfam family "Bacterial small subunit ribosomal RNA", at positions 568 to 795 of the family's 1533-position model. The record is from RNAcentral.
UACGUAGGCGGAAAAUGUAGUCAGUGGUGAAAUCCCGCAGCUUAACUGUGGAACUGUCAUUGAUACUGGUUUUCUUGAAUUUAGUUGAGGUAGGCGGAAUGUGUAAUGUAGCGGUGAAAUGCUUAGAUAUUACACAGAACACCGAUUGCGAAGGCAGCUUACUAAGCUAUGAUUGACGCUGAGGUACGAAAGCGUGGGGAGCGAACAGGAUUAGAUACCCUGGUAGUC